UCGAAAAUAGGAAUGCAUUUUCAUUUGGAAAUUCGGUGAGUUUGAGAGCGAGCCUCUCCAUGGUGGACACGUUAACAAACUCACAUGCAGUAUCAAUGGAGAGUCUUCGGAGCAUGAGCCAAGGAACAUCACCCUGUCGUUGUUGUUCCUUAGGUUUAGAUGGGUAACUUAAAGAUACAGAUUCCCAAUUUUUGCAAACAAAAGCUACUCGAGCACUAUCAGCAAUGUUCAACCUAUCCUUAAUCAUCCAUAGGAGUAGUGACGGGAUGUGUGACCAUCUUUCUUCUUCGUCAUCUUUUUUCAUGUUGCCAUCAUCCAUUUUGAGUUUUUUUGCAUUCAACAUGAGAUCAGAUCAACCUAAAGAUGAAGUCAACUCAGUUUAUUAGCUUAGAGGAAAAGCAAAUAAGAAAAUUAAAACUUAAUUUGAAGCAAAGAAACAAAGUUACAAAAAAGGGGUUUUGGGGAUACUUUGCAAGUUAACUCGAUCGGUAGAGUAUAUCUAUUUAUAUUUAUAUAUUUAUAUAGGGUAAAAUUAAUCUAAGACUUCAUGUCUUAAUAGUAUUACACUUCAUAUCCAGUAUCCACAUUAAAAAGAAUUUACCAGCUAUCAAGUAAAACUUCCAAACCGAAAUUGCUCAAAUUCUGCAGACCAAGAAGAAGAGAUGCUGCAGUCCUGUCAGAAACGAAGAUAUAUAAGCAAUAAUAACAAUUUGAAGGAAAUAUUAUGAAAACGAAUUAACAAUUCACAACAAGGGUUUAUAAUUCGACCUUAAUUUUAGAGCUUUAUGUUUGUCGAGAGUUGAGACUAGAAUAAGGAAGAAAUAGAGCAUGAAAGAGAUGGUUGUGAUUUGUGAAUUGUGUGAUUGAGCGACGAAUGGCUUAUUUAUCUGCUUCAUUCGUUUGUUGAUUGACUAUUUCACCCUUAAGGUCGGUAAAAAUCUAGG
Molecule: long non-coding RNA, 944 nt
Filed under: Aquilegia coerulea
Lineage: Eukaryota; Viridiplantae; Streptophyta; Magnoliopsida; Ranunculales; Ranunculaceae
Description: long non-coding RNA (ACOE_LNC001946)
Source: RNAcentral